UGAAUACGAGAUGCUACGGCGUCGAAGCAGUCUAUGUCAUACUUCCAAGAAAAGCUUGCACUGUCAUAAACAAAUAAUGCCUGUACCAUAACCGACACAGGUGGGUAGGUAGAGUAUACUAAGGGGCGCGAGAUAACUCUCUCUAAGGAACUCGGCAAAAUGACUCCGUAACUUCGGGAGAAGGAGUGCCUUAUUUAUAAGGUUGCAAUAACAAGAUCCAAGCAACUGUUUACCAAAAACACAGGUCUCCGCUAAGUCGUAAGACGAUGUAUGGGGGCUGACGCCUGCCCAGUGCCAGAAGGUUAAAGAAGUUGGUUAGCAUCCGCGAAGCUGAUAACUGAAGCCCUGGUGAACGGCGGCCGUAACAAUAACGGUCCUAAGGUAGCGAAAUUCCUUGUCGGGUAAGUUCCGACCCGCACGAAAGGCGUAAUGAUUUGGAUACUGUCUCGGAGAGGGGCUCGGUGAAAUAGACUUGUCUGUGAAGAUGCGGACUACCUGCACCAGGACAGAAAGACCCUAUGAAGCUUUACUGUAACCUGAAAUUGAAAUUGGACUUUACUUGCGCAGUAUAGGUGGGAGGCGUUGAGAAUAUUCUUGCGGGAUUAUUGGAGCCAUCAGUGAGAUACCACUCUUGUAAUGUUAGAUUUCUAACUUUGUAUCAUUAUCUGGUCAAAGAACAGUUUCAGGCGGGCAGUUUGACUGGGGCGGUCGCCUCCUAAACGGUAACGGAGGCGCACAAAGGUUUCCUCUGAACGGGUAGAAAUCGUAUCUAGAGUGUAAAGGCAUAAGGAAGCUUGACUGUGAGACCUACAAGUCGAGCAGGGACGAAAGUCGGUCUUAGUGAUCUGACGGUGCUGAGUGGAAAGGCCGUCACUCAACGGAUAAAAGUUACUCUAGGAUAACAGGCUGAUCUCCCCCAAGAGUUCACAUCGACGGGGAGGUUUGGCACCUCGAUGUCGGCUCAUCGCAUCCUGGGGCGGUAGUACGUCCCAAGGGUUGGGCUGUUCGCCCAUGAAAGCGGUACGCGAGCUGGGUUCAGAACGUCGUGAGACAGUUCGGUCCAUAUCCGGUGUAGGCGUUAGAAUAUUGAGAGGAGCCUUCUUUAGUACGAGAGGACCGAGAAGGACAUACCUCUGGUGUACCAGUUAUCGUGCCAACGGUAAACGCUGGGUAGCUAUGUGUGGAGUGGAUAACCGCUGAAAGCAUCUAAGUGGGAAGCCCACCUCAAGAUAAGUAUUCUG
This 1241-nucleotide ribosomal RNA is filed under the name metagenome. Its description in RNAcentral is "bacterial LSU rRNA". It matches the Rfam family "Bacterial large subunit ribosomal RNA", at positions 1564 to 2815 of the family's 2925-position model. The record is from RNAcentral.